AGAGUUUGAUCCUGGCUCAGGAUGAACGCUGGCGGCGUGCCUAACACAUGCAAGUCGAACGGGACUUAUUAUGACGAUUUCGGUCUGAAUUUUAAGUUUAGUGGCGGACGGGUGAGUAACGCGUGGACAACCUGCCUUUCACAGGGGGAUAGCAGCUGGAAACGGCUGGUAAUACCGCAUACGCUCAUGCCACCGCAUGGUGGUGUGAGGAAAGAUUUAUCGGUGAAAGAUGGAUCCGCGUCUGAUUAGCCAGUUGGCGGGGUAACGGCCCACCAAAGCGACGAUCAGUAGCCGGCCUGAGAGGGCGGACGGCCACAUUGGGACUGAGACACGGCCCAGACUCCUACGGGAGGCAGCAGUGGGGGAUAUUGCACAAUGGGCGCAAGCCUGAUGCAGCGACGCCGCGUGAGUGAAGAAGUAUUUCGGUAUGUAAAGCUCUAUCAGCAGGGAAGAAAGGCUCGAAAGAGAGAUGACGGUACCUGACUAAGAAGCCCCGGCUAACUACGUGCCAGCAGCCGCGGUAAU
RNAcentral lists this ribosomal RNA (525 nucleotides) under uncultured bacterium. Its description in RNAcentral is "bacterial SSU rRNA". It matches the Rfam family "Bacterial small subunit ribosomal RNA", at positions 8 to 524 of the family's 1533-position model. The record is from RNAcentral.